This 496-nucleotide ribosomal RNA is filed under the name uncultured Glomeromycotina. RNAcentral describes it as "partial small subunit ribosomal RNA". It matches the Rfam family "Eukaryotic small subunit ribosomal RNA", at positions 591 to 1092 of the family's 1831-position model. The record is from RNAcentral. Lineage: Eukaryota; Fungi; Glomeromycota.
CCAAUAGCGUAUAUUAAAGUUGUUGCAGUUAAAAAGCUCGUAGUUGAAUUUCGGGGUUCUACCGUUGGUCGGGCAAUAGUCUGUACUGGCGUGUGGAAUUUCUACCUUCUGGGGAACCAUCAUGUUAUUAAUUUAGCGUGGUGGGAAACCAGGACCUUUACCUUGAAAAAAUUAGAGUGUUCAAAGCAGGCUUACGUCUGAAUACAUUAGCAUGGAAUAAUAAAAUAGGACGGUGGUCCUGUUUUGUUGGUUUCUGAAUCACCGUAAUGAUUAAUAGGGAUAGUUGGGGGCAUUAGUAUUCAAUUGUCAGAGGUGAAAUUCUUGGAUUUAUUGAAGACUAACUUCUGCGAAAGCAUUUGCCAAGGAUGUUAUCAUUAAUCAAGAACGAAAGUUAGGGGAUCGAAGACGAUCAGAUACCGUCGUAGUCUUAACCAUAAACUAUGCCGACUAGGGAUCGGACGAUGUUAAUUUUUCUUGACUCGUUCGGCGCCUUACG